This 301-nucleotide ribosomal RNA is filed under the name uncultured bacterium. RNAcentral describes it as "partial 16S ribosomal RNA". It matches the Rfam family "Bacterial small subunit ribosomal RNA", at positions 509 to 807 of the family's 1533-position model. The record is from RNAcentral.
CAGUCGCCACGGUAAUACGGAGGGUGCAAGCGUUAUCCGGAUUCACUGGGUUUAAAGGGUGCGUAGGCGGAUCUGUAAGUCAGUGGUGAAAUCUCCAGGCUUAACCUGGAAACUGCCGUUGAUACUAUAGGUCUUGAAUUUUGUGGAGGUUAGCGGAAUAUGUCAUGUAGCGGUGAAAUGCAUAGAUAUGACAUAGAACACCAAUUGCGAAGGCAGCUGGCUACACAACUAUUGACGCUGAGGCACGAAAGCGCGGGGAUCAAACAGGAUUAGAUACCCCAGUAGUCCCUGUCUCUUAUAC